GGGGAGAGGAACUUGUUCCUCGAGUCGUUGAUUUCACACUGCCGAGAAAAGCCUCUAGCUAGAAUAACGGUGCCCGUACCGCAAACCGACACAGGUAGUCAAGAUGAGAAUUCUAAGGUGAGCGAGCGAACUCUCGUUAAGGAACUCGGCAAAAUGACCCCGUAACUUCGGGAGAAGGGGUGCUCUUUGAGGUUCACGCUUCGAAGAGCCGCAGUGAAUAGGCCCAAGCGACUGUUUAUCAAAAACACAGGUCUCUGCUAAACCGUAAGGUGACGUAUAGGGGCUGACGCCUGCCCGGUGCUGGAAGGUUAAGAGGAGUGGUUAGCGCAAGCGAAGCUACGAAUCGAAGCCCCAGUAAACGGCGGCCGUAACUAUAACGGUCCUAAGGUAGCGAAAUUCCUUGUCGGGUAAGUUCCGACCCGCACGAAAGGCGUAACGAUUUGGGCACUGUCUCAACGAGAGACUCGGUGAAAUCAUAGUACCGGUGAAGAUGCCGGUUACCCGCGACAGGACGGAAAGACCCCGUGGAGCUUUACUGUAGCCUGAUAUUGAAAUUCGGUACAGUUUGUACAGGAUAGGUAGGAGCCUUAGAAGCGU
Molecule: ribosomal RNA, 597 nt
Filed under: Staphylococcus pseudintermedius
Lineage: Bacteria; Bacillati; Bacillota; Bacilli; Caryophanales; Staphylococcaceae
Description: partial 23S ribosomal RNA
Rfam family: Bacterial large subunit ribosomal RNA
Source: RNAcentral